AGCGGAGGAAAAGAAACCAACAGGGAUUGCCCCAGUAACGGCGAGUGAAGCGGCAACAGCUCAAAUUUGAAAUCUGGCCCCAGGCCCGAGUUGUAAUUUGCAGAGGAUGCUUUUGGCGCGGUGCCUUCCGAGUUCCCUGGAACGGGACGCCAUAGAGGGUGAGAGCCCCGUACGGUUGGACACCAAGCCUUUGUAAAGCUCCUUCGACGAGUCGAGUAGUUUGGGAAUGCUGCUCUAAAUGGGAGGUACAUUUCUUCUAAAGCUAAAUAUUGGCCAGAGACCGAUAGCGCACAAGUAGAGUGAUCGAAAGAUGAAAAGCACUUUGAAAAGAGGGUUAAACAGCACGUGAAAUUGUUAAAAGGGAAGCGCUUGUGACCAGACUUGCGUCCGGUGAAUCACCCAGCUCUCGCGGCUGGGGCACUUCGCCGGCACAGGCCAGCAUCAGCUUGCCGUCGGGGACAAAAGCUUCAGGAACGUAGCUCCUCUCGGGGAGUGUUAUAGCCUGUUGYAUAAUACCCUUCGGCGGGCUGAGGUACGCGCUCCGCAAGGAUGCUGGCGUAAUGGUCAUCAGCGACCCGUCUUGAAACACGGACCAAGGAGUCAACCUUAUGUGCGAGUGUUUGGGUGUUAAACCCCUACGCGUAAUGAAAGUGAACGCAGGUGAGAGCUUCGGCGCAUCAUCGACCGAUCCUGAUGUUCUCGGAUGGAUUUGAGUAAGAGCAUAUAGGGUUGGACCCGAAAGAAGGUGAACUAUGCGUGUGUAGGGUGAAGCCAGAGGAAACUCUGGUGGAGGCUCGCAGCGGUUCUGACGUGCAAAUCGAUCGUCAAACAUGCGCAUGGGGGC
This 844-nucleotide ribosomal RNA is filed under the name Colletotrichum nymphaeae. Its description in RNAcentral is "LSU rRNA". It matches the Rfam family "Eukaryotic large subunit ribosomal RNA", at positions 49 to 924 of the family's 3401-position model. The record is from RNAcentral. Lineage: Eukaryota; Fungi; Ascomycota; Sordariomycetes; Glomerellales; Glomerellaceae.